GAAAUGCGAUAAGUAAUGUGAAUUGCAGAAUUCAGUGAAUCAUCGAAUCUUUGAACGCACCUUGCGCUCCUUGGUAUUCCGAGGAGCAUGCCUGUUUGAGUGUCAUUAAUAUAUAUAUAUCAACCCUCUUCUCUUGUUGAGUGGCUUGGAUGUGGGGGGUUUGCUGGCCUUGUUUUCAGCUCCCCUGAAAUACAUUAGCAGAACAAACCCCUGUUCAUUGGCGUGAUAAAACUAUCUACGCUAUUGAACGCAAGGGGGCAGUUCAGCUUUCUAAUGGUCCUUUGGACAAUUUACCAUUGAUGUGACCUCAAAUCAGGUAGGACUACCCGCUGAACUUAA
RNAcentral lists this unclassified non-coding RNA (339 nucleotides) under uncultured Cortinarius. RNAcentral's name for it is "sequence contains ITS1". The stretch from base 1 to 105 matches the Rfam family "5.8S ribosomal RNA", at positions 50 to 154 of the family's 154-position model. Lineage: Eukaryota; Fungi; Basidiomycota; Agaricomycetes; Agaricales; Cortinariaceae. The record is from RNAcentral.